This 483-nucleotide ribosomal RNA is filed under the name uncultured bacterium. RNAcentral describes it as "bacterial SSU rRNA". It matches the Rfam family "Bacterial small subunit ribosomal RNA", at positions 30 to 507 of the family's 1533-position model. The record is from RNAcentral.
UGAACGCUAGCGGCAGGCUUAAUACAUGCAAGUCGAACGGUAACAUGUCCAGCAAUGGAUGAUGACGAGUGGCGAACGGGUGCGUAACGCGUAUGCAACCUACCUUUAACUGGAGGAUAGCCCCGAGAAAUCGGGAUUAAUACUCCAUAACAUUAUGAUCUGGCAUCUGGUUAUAAUUAAAGAAUUUCGGUUAAAGAUGGGCAUGCGUGACAUUAGCUAGUUGGUAGGGUAACUGCUUACCAAGGCAACGAUGUCUAGGGGGUUCUGAGAGGAUUACCCCCCACACUGGUACUGAGACACGGACCAGACUCCUACGGGAGGCAGCAGUAGGGAAUAUUGGUCAAUGGACGCAAGUCUGAACCAGCCAUGCCGCGUGCAGGAUUGACGGCCCUAUGGGUUGUAAACUGCUUUUAUGCAAGAAAAAUAUGCUAUACGUGUAUAGCUUUGAUGGUAUUGCAUGAAUAAGGAUCGGCUAACUCCGUG